AUGUCCAAGAAGAUCGUGCUCAAGGUGGAUAUCACCGCCGAGCGGUGCAAGGCCGGCGCCAUGAGCGUCGUCGCCAAGCUCCCAGGUAUCAAAUCGAUGGCGGUGGACGGCGAGAAGGGGACGCUGACCGUGGUGGGGGACGUGGACGUGGUCUGCCUUGCGAGCGCGCUGCGGAAGGCCAAGUUCACGGCGCUCGUCGUCAGCGUCGGGCCUGAGGUGGUGGAGAAGAAGCCCGAGCCGCCGAAGAAGCCUGAAACGCCCAAGCCGGUGCCGCCCUGCUGCUGCUCCGGCCCCGGCCCUGGCAAUGCAUGUUGCUGUCCCCGGCCGAUGCCGCCGUACCCUGGCGCGGCCAUCGUGUGCUACGAGGAGCAGCCCGACGGCCAUUGCAUCAUCCUGUGA
RNAcentral lists this ribosomal RNA (399 nucleotides) under Triticum aestivum (bread wheat). RNAcentral's name for it is "partial small subunit ribosomal RNA". Lineage: Eukaryota; Viridiplantae; Streptophyta; Magnoliopsida; Poales; Poaceae. The record is from RNAcentral.